Molecule: transfer RNA, 86 nt
Filed under: Lentisphaerota bacterium
Lineage: Bacteria; Pseudomonadati; Lentisphaerota
Also listed under: 1 other name
Description: Lentisphaerae bacterium (anaerobic digester metagenome) tRNA-Leu
Rfam family: tRNA
About the family: Transfer RNA (tRNA) molecules are approximately 80 nucleotides in length. Their secondary structure includes four short double-helical elements and three loops (D, anti-codon, and T loops).
Source: RNAcentral
GCCGGAGUGGCGGAAUGGCAGACGCACCAGACUCAAAAUCUGGCGCCCUCACGGGCGUAUGGGUUCAAGUCCCUUCUCCGGUACCA